This 451-nucleotide ribosomal RNA is filed under the name uncultured bacterium. RNAcentral describes it as "partial 16S ribosomal RNA". It matches the Rfam family "Bacterial small subunit ribosomal RNA", at positions 28 to 507 of the family's 1533-position model. The record is from RNAcentral.
AGCGAACGCUGGCGGCAUGCCUAACACAUGCAAGUCGCACGCGGGGGCUUCGGCCUCCCAGUGGCGGACGGGUGAGGAACGCGUAGGGACCUGUCGAGGGGUGGGGGAUAACCGCGGGAAACUGCGGCUAAUACCGCAUGACGCCGCGGCGUGACAGCCGGGGCCAAAGGCGAAAGCCGCCCGCCGAGGGGCCUGCGUCCGAUUAGCUGGUUGGCGGGGUAGCGGCCCACCAAGGCGUCGAUCGGUAGCUGGUCUGAGAGGGUGAUCAGCCACACCGGGACUGAGACACGGCCCGGACUCCUACGGGAGGCAGCAGUGGGGAAUAUUGGACAAUGGGCGCAAGCCUGAUCCAGCAAUGCCGCGUGGGUGAAGAAGGUCUUCGGAUUGUAAAGCCCUUUCGGCGGGGACGAUGGUGACGGUACCCGCAGAAGAAGCCCCGGCUAACUUCGUG